This 26-nucleotide non-coding RNA is filed under the name Homo sapiens (human). Lineage: Eukaryota; Metazoa; Chordata; Mammalia; Primates; Hominidae. The record is from RNAcentral.
GAUGAACAGUAGGCCGGAUGGAGACU